AUAAAACAAACAAACCUUCAGAAGACCUUACAUUAUCCUUCCUUGAUUUGUAUAUUAUAGAUGUUUUGAUGUUCUUCAAGUGGAAGAUUACCGCAUUGGCGAUCCAUUAGAUACUGUAUUAGGAACAAAGUGUUGAUGUCCUCUCGCCUAUGACCCCUAAGCAUCCCAAACCAGAAGUGUCUGCAGCCCAGCUACAAGAAGGAGACAUAGAAGAACCCUCUAUCCUUGGAACUUGGAAACAGCUACACUGGAUCCUGUGUGGAAGUUAAGGAGACUGUUGCUGUGGUGGGGGCCUGAGAACAUUAUUUCAUCCCAAUGUUGCUCUGACAUUUGUGUCUAAGAUUCAAGAAGAGUAAGAAAAAAAGGUAUGGAUGUGUACUUUUAACUUCUUAAUUUUUUAAGGCAAAUAUGGUACAUUUUAAAGAUUGAUUUUAUUGAUUUAUCUCCUACUGCCUUUGCUUUUCUGUGUGUCCUUUUCCCUUUUAAGGAAUAGCUUUAUCUUUAUGUAAUUUGUUGGGUAGACCAAGGUACUAUGAGGGAAAC
RNAcentral lists this long non-coding RNA (543 nucleotides) under Mus spicilegus (steppe mouse). Its description in RNAcentral is "lncRNA (ENSMSIG00000000521.1)". Lineage: Eukaryota; Metazoa; Chordata; Mammalia; Rodentia; Muridae. The record is from RNAcentral.